RNAcentral lists this signal recognition particle RNA (250 nucleotides) under Callithrix jacchus (white-tufted-ear marmoset). RNAcentral's name for it is "Metazoan signal recognition particle RNA (ENSCJAG00000059135.2)". It matches the Rfam family "Metazoan signal recognition particle RNA". From Rfam's summary of the family: The signal recognition particle (SRP) is a universally conserved ribonucleoprotein. It is involved in the co-translational targeting of proteins to membranes. The eukaryotic SRP consists of a 300-nucleotide 7S RNA and six proteins: SRPs 72, 68, 54, 19, 14, and 9. The record is from Rfam by way of RNAcentral. Lineage: Eukaryota; Metazoa; Chordata; Mammalia; Primates; Cebidae.
GCUGGGCACGGUGGCGCGUGCCUGUAAUCCCAGCUACUCAGGAGGCUGAGGCAGGAGAAUUGCCUGAACCCAGGAGGCGGAGGUUGCGGUGAGCUGAGAUCGCACCAUUGCACUCCAGCCUGGGUGACAAGAGCAAAACUCCGUCUCAAAAAAAAAAAAAGACAGCCUCUCGCCCAGGCUGAGUGCAGUGGUGCAAUCAUGGCUCACUGCAGCCUCCAUCUCCUGGGCUCAAGCAAUCCUCCCGCCUCAG